This 773-nucleotide ribosomal RNA is filed under the name uncultured Candidatus Cenarchaeales thaumarchaeote. Its description in RNAcentral is "bacterial SSU rRNA". It matches the Rfam family "Archaeal small subunit ribosomal RNA", at positions 514 to 1287 of the family's 1478-position model. The record is from RNAcentral. Lineage: Archaea; Thermoproteati; Nitrososphaerota; Candidatus Cenarchaeales.
AGCAUCCGUAGCCGGCCGUCUAAGUUUUCGGUUAAAUCUAUGCGCUUAACGUAUAGGCCGCCGAAAAUACUGGACAGCUAGGGAGUGGGAGAGGUACACGGUACUCAAUAGGAAGGGGUAAAAUCCUUUGAUCUAUUGAUGACCACCUGUGGCGAAGGCGGUGUACCAGAACACGUUCGACGGUGAGGGAUGAAAGCUGGGGGAGCAAACCGGAUUAGAUACCCGGGUAGUCCCAGCUGUAAACGAUGCAGACUCGGUGAUGCAUUGGCUUGUGGCCAAUGCAGUGCCGCAGGGAAGCCGUUAAGUCUGCCGCCUGGGAAGUACGUACGCAAGUAUGAAACUUAAAGGAAUUGGCGGGGGAGCACCACAAGGGGUGAAGCCAGCGGUUCAAUUGGAGUCAACGCCAGAAACCUUACCCGGGGCGACAGCAGAAUGAAGGUCAAGCUGAAGACUUUACCAGACAAGCUGAGAGGUGGUGCAUGGCCGUCGCCAGCUCGUGCCGUGAGAUGUCCUGUUAAGUCAGGUAACGAGCGAGACCCCUGCGUCUAGUUGCUACCAUUACUCUCUGGAGUAGUGGAGCGAAUUAGACGGACCGCCACAGUUAAUGUGGAGGAAGGAAGGGGCACGGCAGGUCAGUAUGCCCCGAAACCCUGGGGCCACACGCGGGCUGCAAUGGUAUUGACAAUGUGUUCCGAAUCCGAAAGGAGGAGGCAAUCAUCAAACGAUACCUCAGUUAUGACUGAGGGCUGUAACUCGCCCUCACGAAUAUGGAA